UACGGAGGGUGCAAGCGUUAAUCGGAAUUACUGGGCGUAAAGCGCGCGUAGGCGGUUUUUUAAGUCGGAUGUGAAAUCCCCGGGCUCAACCUGGGAAUUGCCUUCGAUACUGGGAGACUUGAGUACGAGAGAGGGAGGUAGAAUUCCACGUGUAGCGGUGAAAUGCGUAGAUAUGUGGAGGAAUACCAGUGGCGAAGGCGGCCUCCUGGCUCGAUACUGACGCUCAUGUGCGAAAGCGUGGGGAGCAAACAGG
RNAcentral lists this ribosomal RNA (253 nucleotides) under uncultured bacterium. RNAcentral describes it as "partial 16S ribosomal RNA". It matches the Rfam family "Bacterial small subunit ribosomal RNA", at positions 524 to 776 of the family's 1533-position model. The record is from RNAcentral.